AUCGCUUCUCGGCCUUUUGGCUAAGAUCAAGUGUAGUAUCUGUUCUUAUCAGUUUAAUAUCUGAUACGUCCUCUAUCCGAGGACAAUAUAUUAAAUGGAUUUUUGGAACAGGGAGAUGGAAUAGGAGCUUGCUCCGUCCACUCCACGCAUCGACCUGGUAUUGCAGUACUUCCGGGAACGGUGCACCUCCC
Monodelphis domestica (gray short-tailed opossum) is the source of this 191-nucleotide small nuclear RNA. Its record names the gene U2. It matches the Rfam family "U2 spliceosomal RNA". From Rfam's summary of the family: U2 is a small nuclear RNA (snRNA) component of the spliceosome (involved in pre-mRNA splicing). Complementary binding between U2 snRNA (in an area lying towards the 5' end but 3' to hairpin I) and the branchpoint sequence (BPS) of the intron results the bulging out of an unpaired adenosine, on the BPS, which initiates a nucleophilic attack at the intronic 5' splice site, thus starting the first of two transesterification reactions that mediate splicing. The record is from Ensembl. Lineage: Eukaryota; Metazoa; Chordata; Mammalia; Didelphimorphia; Didelphidae.